Molecule: ribosomal RNA, 250 nt
Filed under: uncultured bacterium
Lineage: Bacteria
Description: partial 16S ribosomal RNA
Rfam family: Bacterial small subunit ribosomal RNA
Source: RNAcentral
UAAGGAAUAUUGGACAAUGGUCGCAAGACUGAUCCAGCCAUGCCGCGUGCAGGAUGAAUGCCCUAUGGGUUGUAAACUGCUUUUGUACGGGAAUAAACCCUACUACGUGUAGUAGGCUGAAUGUACCGUAAGAAUAAGGGUCGGCUAACUUCGUGCCAGCAGCCGCGGUAAGACGAAGGACCCAAGCGUUAUCCGGAUUCAUUGGGUUUAAAGGGUGCGUAGGCGGGUUGAUAAGUCAGUGGUGAAAGCC